Molecule: long non-coding RNA, 308 nt
Filed under: Anas platyrhynchos platyrhynchos (common mallard)
Lineage: Eukaryota; Metazoa; Chordata; Aves; Anseriformes; Anatidae
Description: lncRNA (ENSAPLG00000024371.1)
Source: RNAcentral
CUUUUCUGCUGCUGUAAAAUCAUGAAUUUCAGUUGCUGAGAUUACGAUCUGUGGGACGCACUAAGUGGGAUGUAAACCAUAAUGCUGAUGUUAGCUGGCUUCCCAGCUGAAGUGCCGUAUGCAGCAGCUAAUCACCUGCUUCUGAGAAGAGAGGAGGUUUUUCUUUUAUCUCUGCAAACUGCCUAUCUGGAAAUUAAUUACAAGGUAAUACACUGGUAAUCAGCCAUUCAUAGAUAGAAUGUAGGUGCACAGUUUAAUAGCAUUAUGCUUAUAGUUUAUAGAAGAAGAAAACAAUUGCUGAAUGGACA